AGGGUCGGUCGGGUGACCGCGGCUCUGUCAGACAGAGCUGAGGAAAGUCCGCACUCCACAGAGCACGGCGCCGGGUAACACCCGGGAUGGGGUAACCUGUCGGAUCGGGCCACAGAAACAUACCGCCGAAGCAUCGCUGGCGAUGCUGGCAAGGGUGAAAAGGCGUGUGUAAGAGACCACCGACGGCUGCAGCAAUGCAGCCGGUCAGGCAACCCCCGCCGGGAGCAAGGCCAAGCAGGGACUACAGGCUGCUCGUCUUAUGGUCCCGGGUAGGCUGCUUGAGGCGCAUGGCGACAUGCGUCCCAGAGAGAUGGUCACCCAGACGCAUGGUCGGGAAGGAGCUGCCCUGCAGUGUAAACCGACCCGCUGCGUUGGACAGAAUGCGGCUUACAGACUGACCCGGCUG
This 406-nucleotide RNase P RNA is filed under the name Chloroflexota bacterium. RNAcentral's name for it is "Chloroflexi bacterium (sediment metagenome) RNase P RNA component class A". It matches the Rfam family "Bacterial RNase P class A". Rfam says of the family: Ribonuclease P (RNase P) is a ubiquitous endoribonuclease, found in archaea, bacteria and eukarya as well as chloroplasts and mitochondria. Its best characterised activity is the generation of mature 5'-ends of tRNAs by cleaving the 5'-leader elements of precursor-tRNAs. Cellular RNase Ps are ribonucleoproteins. Lineage: Bacteria; Bacillati; Chloroflexota. The record is from RNAcentral.